RNAcentral lists this long non-coding RNA (3509 nucleotides) under Sus scrofa (pig). Its description in RNAcentral is "lncRNA (ENSSSCG00035011033.1, ENSSSCG00045039272.1, ENSSSCG00055011438.1, ENSSSCG00065076360.1)". Lineage: Eukaryota; Metazoa; Chordata; Mammalia; Artiodactyla; Suidae. The record is from RNAcentral.
CAAGACCAAGUUUGGUAAUAAGCACAGAUAUUUCACAUUCUUAAUACUUGAAUUAGCCACUGAAAUUCUAUUUAAAAUUACCUCUUUUUAUAGCAAAUAAUAUGAAACACAGCAGCUAUUUCUCCAUUCAAACAAGUUACAACUAGCCCAGUAUCAUUUUAGGCAAAUAGUGGAAGCUCUCAAAAGAAAGAUGGCUGAAAUGUCAAAGAGGGUCAAAAGACAGCUCAACAAAAGAUCAGCAACUCAGAACUGGCUGUGGUUUACAGUUCAGCCCUGUUAGAAUGUGGAUUAUCUCUUUUGAACAGUUAAUGGAAUGGAAAUGGCAUAUAAGAUUUCUUUGCAUCAAUAAAAAGAAGCUCAACAAUGAGGUCUUGUAUGAAAAAUAGUGAGAAUGUGAUAAAAGAAAUACUUUGACAGAUCAGCUCAACAUCACGUACUACUGAAGAAGGAAGAUUUAAUGUACAUAAAGAGAUUUCGGGGAGUUCCUGUCUUGGCGCAACAGAAAUGAGUCUGACUAGGAACCAUGAGGUUGUGGGUUCCAUCCCUGGCCUCGCUCAGUGGGUUAAGAGGUGUUGCUGUGAGCUGUGGUGUAGGUCACAGAUGUGGCUCGGAUAUGGCGUUGCUGUAGCUCAGUGGGCUGGGGAUCUAGCAUUGCCGUGAGCUGUGGUGUGGGUUGCAGAUGUGGCUCGGAUCCCACGUUGCUGUGGCGGCUACAGCUCCGAUUGGACCCCUAGCCUGGGAACCUCCAUAUGCCGUGGGAGCGGCCCUAGAGAAGACAAAAAAAAACACAGUAUCUGUAGAGUACAAUAAAGUGAAGAGUAAUAAAAUAAGACAUAGUAGACACUAUUGAUUACACUAGAGAAAAAAAUGUAAACCAGGAUUCACCAGUGGCACAUCAGAUUAUUCUACUGAUAGGACAAGUAAGAAAAGGAUUGGGAAAUCACUCCUGAAUUUAACAGUAUGAAGUACAUUUGUGAUGUUAAUGAAAGCAGUUUUGAUGGGGAGAUAAGGUGUAACAUGUGACUAAAAUGGGUUUAAAAUAAAUAAAGAGAACUUGGAGACAACAAAAUUAGCCAACUCUUUAGAGAGGUCAUUGUGAUAUGGUGAUGUAAGAAUCAAACUGCAGCUAUUGGGGAGGUAGGGGAAAUAAAAUAUUUGUUGUUUAAGAUGGGAGAAUUCAUAGUAUGUUUGUAUGGUGGUAGAUGAUACAAUAGAGAAGGAAAAAUUGACAAUUAGAAGAGAGAGGAGAGAUGAGAGAAUUGCUAGAGCAAAGUCCCUGAGUAACUUGAGAAUAGUUGGGACAUAUUGGUAACAUGAGUUGGAAAUCUGAGGGGUUUUGUGAUGAAUGAUGUAAGUAAGAAUAAAGAACAUUAAAACAUUUGGUGGUAAAUGACAAAUAUCCCCCAAAUAUCAGGCCGUAAUCCUUGAGAUCUGUAAAUAUUAUUACAUAUAGCAAAGGAUAUGAAUAAGUUAAGGAUUUGGGGAUGAGAGAUUAUCCUGGACUAUCUAAGUGGAUCCUAAACAUAACUGCUUGGGUCGUUAUCAGAGAAAGACAAGAAAUUUCAUAUAGACACACGGAGAAGGCGAUGUGAGAAUGAGGGCAGAAAUUGGAGUGAUGUGACCAUCUGCCAAGGGAUGCAGGUUGCCACGUCUUACUUAUGUAUGUGUCUCACUCCUGGCCUAGGGUGACUGAAAGGUCAGACUGACUGGGCAUCUUCCAUUCUUCAUGCUGCUUUCUUUCUUGCUGGCUUAGAUUUCCUCAUAGUAUGCCAGUUUAAUGAAAGUUGGGCUUUUUACAUAGAGCUUGGCUUUCCCCGGAGUGUGCAUUCCAAGAGGAGUUGGCAGAAGGCUUCUUAUGAUCCAAGAUUAGAAGUUUCAAAAAAAAAACAUUUAUGCAUCACAUUGGUCAGGCAACUAAGCUAGCCCAAGGCAAGUGGAAUUAGACCCCACCUCUCCGUGAAAGAAGUAGAAAAGGAUAUGUGGCAAUUUUUAAUCUACCACACAUACCAAAGAAAAGGAUGUGAGAUACACUUAUAUUUCAGAGGAGAAAUAUGAGAAAACAGAGAAUAAAUAACAGCAUUUCUGAAAUCAAUGAAGGAGUUUCCAGAAGUAAUUAGGUUUGUUAUUGGAAAGUUAAUCGAAUAUCUUAAAGUAAGUUUGUCUACCUGAACUGAGGGAGAAAGUACAGAAUUACAGCACUGAAGACAAUUGAUACACUUAGUUCUUUCUCCCUGAGAAUGUAAAAUUCUAUUUAUAUAUAGAUACUUGAGGAAUCAAUUUAUAUGACUAAUUGUUAUAAGAUUCAAUAUUUGUAGCCAAUGCAAUAUCUAUAUCAUUUUCAUUUUAAUAAGUUAAACUUAUGUUAUCUUUUUAGUUGACUUAAGUGACCAUUUAGUUUGUCAAAUAAAGGACAACUCCGAAAUAUCUUUAGUGAAUUCAAUCAAGACUACCGCUCAUGGAGCCUUCUGGUAUGUGAAGUGUGUGUGUAUAGGAGGUGGUGAAAAAGUGGAUCAGAUUUGCAUAGGAACACAAUAGUUUUCUGAGUGAAAGGGAUUAAGAUCCCAAUUAUCUCUCAAUUAGCUUCAAAAUUAUUAAAAUCCAUCAGAGGGACUAGGAUCUUAGGAAAAAGCAGUGAGUACUUUGAAAUAAAAUUACUUAAAAGAAAAAAGAAAGGAUGAGUCUGGGCUGAUGAUCAGAUGACCAGAGAUCUAGAUGAAAGGCUUCAAGACUAAAUGAAAGUAUGAUGUCUUUGACCUUCAAUGUAACUUGUGCUUGAAACUCCUCCACACAUCGGCCCAGCCACUGUGCAUGUCCUUAUCUGUGGAGGACCUUGGUUGACUCUAGGCAUAUAAAUCAACAAACAAGCCUGAAAAUCCAACAACCUUGACCCCAAGAGAGUAGGAAUGUCUUUUUUUCAAAGACCCCAGGCUGUGCAGGAACCUGGACAAGUGAGGCUCCACUACAGAGAGAACUGGGACUUCCAGGCAAGUAUCAUCAUCUACAGGACAGUGGAAAAGCAACUCAGAGUCUUCUGAAGCCCAGAGACCUCUCUGAUGGGAGUAAAAGUCAGAAAAUCCUCCAUCUUUUGGAUUAGUUAAGCCCCAGGGCUCUAGAAAAUUGGGGAAUAUGGGAGAUUUAGAGUACAAAUAGUUUUUCAGCUUUGAAGUAUUUUAGUAUGUGAGAUUCAGGAUGCUCAGUUUUUGUUGCUGUUAUUUAAGUUCAGUUUAGUUUAAUUUAGUUCAUUAUCUCAUUUGCACGCAGUUUGUGAAUAGCCAAUUACAAAAGCAUAAACAAGGGAGGGAGAAAAGGAGAGUAACAGAGAAUCACAGAGACUGGGCAGACAGAUAAAAAGAGACAGAGACAAAGAAAGAAACUACAGAUAAUUUUCUUUCAAAAUUGUUAAGAAAAACAUUUUGCUCCAUAUUUAAACUUGAUCUAGACCAGUAUCAUUUGAAUUUUAUGUUUGAAAGAGAAAGUUAAAAUUUCAUAAUUUUCCUUUCUAUUUCUGG